Molecule: ribosomal RNA, 198 nt
Filed under: uncultured bacterium
Lineage: Bacteria
Description: partial 16S ribosomal RNA
Rfam family: Bacterial small subunit ribosomal RNA
Source: RNAcentral
ACGCUCGACACCUACGGGAGCAGCAGUCGGGAAUAUUGCGCAAUGGAGGAAACUCUGACGCAGUGACGCCGCGUGCAGGAAGAAGGUUUUCGGAUUGUAAACUGCUUUAGACAGGGAAGAAAAAAGACAGUACCUGUAGAAUAAGCUCCGGCUAACUACGUGCCAGCAGCCGCGGUAAUCUGAGCGGGCUGGCAAGGC